CCGUAUUCACCAAUGUACGUAAGUCUCAAAUCUUAGACUCAGCUCCAGUUUCUGACUCAGACUCAGACUCAGCCUUACAAAACUUAAUUCACGAAACAUAAAAUGGUUAGUUUUAGACUCAGACUCAGUAAGAUAAGUCUCAAAUGCUAAGUCUACAAUGUUUAGACUUACGCUAUACAAUCAUGACGUAACGUCGUUUGAGCGUUUACUUUACAAAAUGGCCGCCGCACGAGCUCCUUGCGUAAUAAUAAUAUUAUAUUUGAAAGAGUGUAUCUAGAUCGUACCAACCCUUUGGAGAUUUAUAGGGAUAUUGAACUUUACAAACGGUAUCGUUUAACCCGACCGGGAAUCGUAUUUCUUUGCAAUAUUUGCAAGGAAUAGUUGAGCCGCAAUACGAUGCGGAUUCUGCAAGUUCCGGUCGCCCUGGCAGUGUGUACUUUCCCGAGCAACGUGGCAAAAAUCAUAAAAAAGCGGCAUUUAAAGUUAUGGUAGCCAGAACUAGGUAGACCUGUGCACAGGUCAAUAAUAUUUUGACAGCUAGAGAGUUGAAGUUGUCAAAUUUCCAGCUGGUACGACGCCGUUCGUGCAAAACAAGAACUUGGUGCGAUCGCUGAUACGUGAGUCAUUUGCGAUGUGUGCAUUUUGCAAUUGUUCUUAUUUAUUGUAAACAACUGUCAAAUUCAUAUUUGUCCGCGUUUGUUUGUUGUCUUUUGUGAAAAUAAUCUCCAAACUUAAUGAACGUGAACAUGCACUAAUUUUAUGGAUAAUACUUGUUGUUUGAAUGAAAAAGUAAUAACAUAUAAUUUGCAUGUAUCAUAAACUAUAAUAAUGGAUAUUCUCUAAAAAGGGAAACCUAUUAGAAAACGUUUACAAGACAUUUACUAUGCAUAAAUUUUGAUUUCAUUACUAUUACAAAUCUAUUUAUAGAUGUAGGAAUUUACCUAUAGAUAUGUAUAUGCCGAAAAAAGUUACACUGCCAUGACGCAGUUGGUAGCGCAUCGGUGCUCGUGAUUAUAUUUGACCGACUAGUCAGUGGUUCGAAAUUACAUCGGAGACUUUUUUUUUCUCAACAUUUUCAAAAUAAAUUAUGACGAUUAUUUAGUUAUUUUUAAAUUCUUGAUCUUAAAUGUAAUGUUAAUUAAUGUUUAUUAAUUUUAAAAAAGGUGCUAUAAUUAAUGUGCAAAUUAUACACCCUGUUUAGAAGAUAUAGGGUACACCUGAAUCCAUAUGUGCAUCUGUCCUUGUGUCUGUCUAUGUUGUAAUUGAGUUCCAAUACAAAAUGUAUUUUUGCGACAAAUGCUGUAGAAUAUGCAUUUGUUGAUGGCAAGUGCAUUGUUGUAAUGCACUUUAUUUGUAAAUUAAUAAAACACUCAACAACAGGAAUAAUAUUUUAUUCUCAAAUGCACAUAUUAUUGCAUUUUCAAUCAAUAGUAAAACGAUGACAUUAAAUUUGAUUAUCAAGUUAAGACACAUCAGCAUAUUGCAUCACUUCUGACAUAAGGCAGAACUUUCAUUCAAUAUAAUGCACAUAAAUGCACCGAUCAUAAUCCAUUUAUAUCAAUAUCUAUUUACUUAUUAAUAUUGUAAUUUUUACAAAAAAUGGGUCAAUUUUAAAUGAUCAACUUUCAGGUUUUACAAGUACUUUGGGGUGCAUCGAUUGGACGCAUGUGCAUAUCAAGAAGCCAGUAAACCAUGUAGAAGGCUACAUAUGGCGAAAGGGCGUUCCCACCAUCAACGUUCAGGCUGUGUAUGAUGCCAGCUACAGAAUAACGAGCUUCACUCAAGUUCACUGCCAGUUGGCCAGGGCGAAAGCAUGAUGCCAGGAUUUGUUGAUGUCUAAUUUCAAAUUCACAUAACUGUAUCUACCAUUAUUCUGGAAUUUCAUUCAGUUAAUUGAAUGAAGAAUUUUAUUAUUAUCAAUGAUGGAUAUCUUGUAAGCAAAUAAUAUCAAGAAGUGUCCCAAGACACCGCAUUCAACUAAUAUUCCUCUUUGAAUGUAGAAUGUAUUUUAUAUGUCAGUAACAUAAUACAAUGACCAAUGUAAUAUUUAACCUACAUUUCUUAAAGCACACAAAUAUUGACUGGAAUUUUAUAAGUACAAAAAGGGAUAGAAUCAUAUUUUUAUCAUAGAAAUAAUAGUAUGCCCCUUUUUGAAUAAAAAAAAAAUCUUAUUAUUUUGUGUGCAACUGCCCCAUAACUAUUAUUUCUAAUAUAGACUAUCUAUUUUAGAAAUAAUAGAGUUAUGAAGUAGUUGCACAAAAAAUAAUAAGAUCCUUUUAAUUACAAAAAGGCGAAUAAAUCUACUACUAGUAUAUUACAUGUCAGAGUUAUAGCACUUGGUCACGUAUUGACACUAAACACAUCUUUUUCUCCAAAUGUAUUAUUUCAAUUUCUACAGUCAACUUUUUUAUUUCUUAUUCUAAUUUUUCUUAGUUAUUUCCCAUCGGUUUCUCUGUAAGUUUUGUUAAGGUAUCGGCUUGUGAUCUCUUGUCGUUCUUCUUUGUGAGCGCUGCAAAAAUGGAUAAAAAGUGUGAUUUGUAUAAA
Molecule: long non-coding RNA, 2544 nt
Organism: Dreissena polymorpha
Lineage: Eukaryota; Metazoa; Mollusca; Bivalvia; Myida; Dreissenidae
Exons: 2
Source: RefSeq, a predicted model, not a curated record